Long non-coding RNA from Brassica napus (rape), 5530 nucleotides. RefSeq lists it as uncharacterized. Lineage: Eukaryota; Viridiplantae; Streptophyta; Magnoliopsida; Brassicales; Brassicaceae. The record is from RefSeq and is a predicted model, not a curated record. The transcript is spliced from 2 exons.
UUUUAAAACUUUUAUAUAUAUGCAUAAGGUUUCAAAAUACUAUCAUUGUUAUAUUUAUUUAUGUAAUAGAUCAACACUUUAGUUUACUUUUGCUAUUUGAUUUUCAAAACAACAUUUAUUAAAUUAUACAUAAUCUUAAUAAAAUACAUUUACAAAUUUAAAACAAUAAUCAAACUACAUGAAAAUAAAAUAAAAUAAUCAAAAUUUAAAUAUGUAUAACUAAAAUAUUAUAGUUGAAUCGAAAAAGUAAAUGUUAUCUAACAUAUCCAAAUAAUAACCAAACAGUCAAGAUAUUUUAUAUCCAAAAUUAUACGUCUAACUAAGAUAACAAAAUGUUAUUUAAAUAAACUAUGCAUAUUAAUUACAAUAUAAAUAAGAGAAUAACUAAAAUUAAAAAAAAAAUAUUAAUAAAUUAUUAUAAUGUAUUUACUUUCUAAAUAUUAUAUCCGUGCAUGAGCACGGGAAAAUCACCUAGUAUGGAAGUGAAUUUGUUGACAUGUAUCUUCAUAUAAUGUUUUUAUAUUAAGUUUUUCAUCUUUUAGAUUACUGCAAUUUAUCCCAACACUUCCUAAUUGUUCAUUUUUUAUCUUGGUCCCAAAAUCUCUAACCGUGACCCUAACUCCUAAUACACUAAAAUGAUCAAAAUAUGAAGUGUCGAAUGCAACUUCCAAAUUUUCCCUGUCUCUAAAUUAGAAGGUUUAAUCAUUCCAUAUAACUAGAUGAUCACCAAACUUUUUCAAAAGAAAAAAAUCUAGAAAUUAUAUAUAUAUUUGUGUCUCUAUUUUUCUACUGAUUAAUGUCCUCAAAUUGAAUUUAUCAUCAUCGAGUCUACUAUAAAUUUUAAAACACACAAUUCUAUAGGUAGAGAAAAAUAUUUUAGAAAGAGACUAAAUUUUUGUGAAGAAAAAUAUGUGUUUUCAUUACAAAUAGCAAACAAAAACUGAGGUGUCAGGAUUUGGUCAAGUUAUAGCGUCCAAGGGCAAAAUGGAGAACAACUUCGGUGCAGUUUUAAUAGUAACAAAAACAUAUAAAUAUAUAGGUAUGUAGAGAUUUUUGUUACUAUAACUGCGGUGCGGUCUGUAAACAUUCAAAGCUAUAAUUUUUUUUGUUGGUUUAGGUAUUUGAGAUUUGAAAACCGGUAAAAUUGGGUAUCCAAGCGAGAAGUAGUUAAAAGAACAUUUAUUUUUGUAAAUAUCUAUUUUUAUCUUUUAAUUUCAACCACUGAAUUAAACAUGAUCUAAUUUGAUAGAUAAGAUUGUCUGAAAAUUUUAGUUAUCUAAUCCGUCUCGCACUAACCAUCAUCAUAUGAAGUUUGAUAAUCUAUUUUAUUGAUCACUAAUAUCAAGAUAAAUAAAUAAAUAUGUAAAAUAAUAUAAAUAUAUUUAAAAUAUUUGAUAUAUUCAUAACUAAAAAUAUUAUAAAUUUUCACGAUUUUAUUAUUUUUUACUAUUUUCAAUUAUUUUAUUUACAAAUUAUAUAUCUAUUUUAUUAUUAAAAAUCAUAAAAUAACUAAACUAAGAAGAAGAAACUAGAGCACAAAACAUAAGCUAAACCUAAAACAUUCACAUUCACAGAAAAAUGCAAAAUUCCAUAGUAACAUUAACUCAAUAAAAAUCUGGAUCUGAAAAGAGAUCAAGAACGAAGACUAACUUACAUCACUUUACCAUAAAGUAUUUUGACCAGAACAAACAUAUGUCAGAAAAGAGCAGAAAAAUAAAGUCUGAGACAAAACAAUCCCACGAAUACAAAGGAACGUGAUCAUGCACCAACACAAAACCAAGAAAGCGGGUUGGAGAAAAAAAUAAUCAAAUGAAGGCUAAAGUCACCACUUAAUGAGAAAUCAUAGAAAUAUUGUUUUAUUGCAAGAACAAGAGGAGAUAGGUGAGUCUUUUUAUGGUAAUGGUAAACAAGAGCACGUAUGUGAGUCUUUUUCUGGUAAUGGUAAGAAGCAUCGCAUACCGGAAAGGUAAACCAAAACAUAGACGGUGACGGUUCAAGAUCAAAAUCUGGAGAGAGGAAAAAACAUUUUAAAAGAAUAUAUUCAAAAUUUUGAAAAAAAAUAAAAUACAAUUUUGACGCUAAAACCGUUAAUCUUAGAAUCAACAAAUGCUUAAAUGCAAAGUUAUUGAAAUUCAAUAUGUUUUACAUCAGAAGCUCACUUCACUACUAACAAGUACUAUUAUACACACAAUAACAUAUUAUUGAAAAAAUAAACACAUAAUAUAUUAACCUAUCACCUACAACUACAUAACACAGUAAAAACACCAAAUAAUGUUCUUAAUAAAUAAAAACGACUACAUAAUUACAUUUUCAACAAAAAUAAUACUUAACAACAAUAAAACAAUAUUCCUGACGGACACACCCCUAAUAACAUAUAAAAAACAAAAUCAUACUUUGAUUAGGAAAUCAAAGUGUUGGCUUUGAUACCAAUCAAUGAAUUGAAAGCUACAAUAAUGCAAAUAUCUUAUUCGAUUUGAAAUACAGUAUAUCAAAUCAUCCAUGUUUUGUUGAUUCGUGAAAACUCGCAAACUCACUGUAGCAAGAGAAAUAAAAAAAAUCAAACCCUUCCUUUAUAAGUCAAUCAAAAACUAAAUAUGAUAAUAGUCUAAACGACUUAUUUAUAAUAAAUCCUACAACUUAAAAACACCAAAAUAUGUAUAAUUAAUAAAACAAAAUGAUAUAAUAUUUAAAAUAUUUUUAUAUAUCUAUUGGCAUCACUAACUCUGUUUUGAAACAAAACCAUUCAACAUAGGCGUUAUUACAAAGUUUUUAGGAUGAAGUUUUCAGCGUAAUAUAAAAAUUGUUUUUUAACUUUAAGAAAAACUAAGAACUGUCUCUUAAAACUUUUAUUUAAAAACUGGUUCUUAGUUCUUCUUAGUUAAAAAUUAAGAGACGGUUAUUAUAUUACGAUAAGAACAUCACCAUAAGAACUCCCUGAUAACAACCUUUCAAAAUGGAUAGUCCGGAAACCCUUAUCUUGGAGACAAGUCAUUGCUCCGAUGAGUCCAUCUCCAAAUAUAGUACUGACAAAACCCUUAUCUUAGAGACAAGUCAUUGCUCCGAUGAGUCCAUCUCCAAAUAUAGUACUGACAAACUUAAGCAGCAGCUUUUUUUGUCCAAAGUUUCAUAUCCUAUAAUAUCUCUCAUAACAACACAAGCCCAAUAACUAGUCUAUAAGACUAUAACCAACUCAAGAAGAUUGGAAUUUGGAAAGAGUUCAAUGGGGACACUCAAACUGGCCAGGUCCAUCUCUUCCUCCUCUUCAUCUUUCGCUUCCUUAUUUCUCCAGCUCUCGGCUUCCACUAUUGCUAUCUGAAAGGAACUAUGCUAGGCGCUAGUCGGGCGGUAACCCCGGACCUAGCGAGUUACCAAAAAAUCGGAGAUUAAGCGGGGCAUACGCGGGGCCUAGUUUUAAGACAUAUUAUAUAUAUAUAUAUAUAUAACGUUCAUAGAUAAACAUAGUAAUCCAUUACAUCCAAUUCAUGGAAUAAACAAAAAUAGAUUGUCUUGAUCUUGAGAACAUACAGAAAAGGUUUUCAUCCUUUGUUGUCGAAGAUCAAGUAAUCACCAUGAAGGGAAGAUGUGUUAGAUAUUGUAACGUACCCCUGCAACGACAAACAAAAAAACAUCAAUUUUUUACAUAUGAAUAUACAAUCAAACGUGAAACUAAGGUUCAAAAACAUUAAAAAUCCGUGACCUAGGAAGAGAAAGACAUCAAAUUGGUUAAAAAAGUUUCAGAACUUAACUAGUGUUUAAGAACUAAGUUAAAAAGCUUCACUAACAACCUAAAGUGAGUUAUCCAUACAAACAAAACUUGUAAAACAACCUAAGCUGAUUCUUCCUCCAUCUUGUAGAACUCCUAAAACAAGAGAUAACACAUGUAAGAAUCAGUAAUACUCAUAAAAUUUUCAGAACUCAACAACAGUUUUACAAAACUUAUAAAAUAUAAAAACUCAACAAUCUAAAUGGGUCUUUUUUCAUCUUUAAGAACUCCUACGACAUGACUGAACGAUUGUGACAUUGGUUAUUACGAAGAAUAGAAACGAAAUUACCUCCAGUUCGUCUCUUACUCUCAAUCCACGUUUGAUUUCAUCUCCACGCUUCAGUUCAACGCUUGAUUUUGUCUCCACUUUUUCGAUUAGGGUUUCAGGUAUCGAAGAUCAAUCUCAAUUAAAGCAACGACGUGUUAAGUGUGUGUCUGGCCUUCUUCGGCUUUGAUUUUAAUUGAGUUUGAACUGACAUUUAUCAACCGAUUUUAUUAUUUUCCGCCGCGUUUUAGUAUUACGCGGGCGAGUAAUGAAAAAAUUGCAACCCCGCGUAGAGUCACCGAGUUGGUCCUCUUCGCCACGUUCAGUCUGCGACUACCGCCUAGGCGGACGAUUAAGCGGCUAGGCGGCUGCGUUUUUGAACAGGGGUUUUUACACAUAUUAAAAAUAUAUAUUAAAUAUUUUCUAAUAACUGGUCAAGAUAAAUUGCAUCUUUAAUGAUUAUAAUUUAUGGUUUCAUGAUCUAGAAUAUACAUGCGCUUUACCAUGUGCUAUGAUUUAUUUAUCAUUUUUGUUUGUUUGUUUCAGAUGCUAUUUACCACUAAUAAUGUUUUUUUUUUCUACACAUAUUAAAAAAACAUAUUAAAUAUUUGCUAAUAACUGGUCAAGAUAAAUUGCAUCUUUAAUAAGUAUAAUUUAUGGUUUCAUCUAGAAUAUAUAUGCGGUUUACCAAGUGCUAUGAUUUAUUUAUCAUUUUUGUUUGUUUGUUUAAGAUGCUAUUUACCGUUAAUAAUGUUUCUCUUUGCGGAGUAUGUUUUUUACAUAUAUUAAAAAUAUAUAUUAAAUAUUUAUUAAUAACUAGUCAAGAUAAAUUGCAUCUUUAAUAAGUAUAAUUUAUGGUUUCAUCUAGAAUAUAUAUGCGGUUUACCAUGUGCUAUGAUUUAUUUAUCAUUUUUGUUUGUUUGUUUCAGAUGCUAUUUACCACUAAUAAUGUUUCUCUUUGCAGAGUAUGUUUUUACACAUAUUAAAAAUAUAUAUUAAAUAUUUGCUAAUAACUGGUCAAGAUAAAUUGCAUCUUUAAUAAGUAUAAUUUAUGGUUUCAUCUAGAAUAUGUAUGCGGUUUAUCAUGUGCUAUGAUUUAUUUAUCAUUUUUGUUUGUUUGUUUCAGAUGCUAUUUUAUGGCAGUUGUUGCGAGAAAACGUCCUUUUUUUUUAUUUUUUAUUUUAACACAGAAAACGUCCUUUUACUUUUAGAACUGUACCUUAAGCCUUACCAUAAUUAAAAAAAAUGUUCCGAGAAAAUGUUUUCAGUAAAAAGAACUACUACAUAGCAAGAUAACGAAAUAUCCUCUGGUUCCAAGGAUAAUAACACUUACAGAUUACAAGCAAAUAAUAAUGGAAUUUUUAUGAAAAAGAAGAAAAACCAGAUUAAUCUCCAAUUAAUUAAGAACUGGUUUGGAGAGACGAUGACUAAUCAGAAGGCAUCUUUCUUACCAAUAAGCCAUAACCAAUCCAAAGCAACUCCUGCAAAUAUUCCUCCCAAUA